RNAcentral lists this long non-coding RNA (1124 nucleotides) under Homo sapiens (human). Its description in RNAcentral is "HSALNT0269686". Lineage: Eukaryota; Metazoa; Chordata; Mammalia; Primates; Hominidae. The record is from RNAcentral.
CUCUGGGCUAUGAGAUAUGAGUAGAAACAACACGUCACCUCCAGGCUGAAGCAUUUCCAGGCUGGUGUGCACUGCAAACAACAACAACAUCCACCAUGGCCCACACAGUCUGCCAUCACGGCUGUCUCUACCAGAGGUGUGCAUCACAGUGUCACAAUGCCUGUUCUUUCACAGAGAUGAUGGUGCUGGAGAGAUGGUUCAUUUUGACCGAGGCCCGUCUGGUGGUUCGUUGCUGUGAUGUAUUUCGGCAUCAUCGACGCAGGUUCACCAGCCUCAUCUCGACCUUGGAAAUGUUGCGGUAUUUUACAGUGUGUGGUGACAUUUAUGGGCCCAUUUGGACACCCACAAAGAGGUUGAUUUCCAUAGAUUAAAUGUCAAGUUUGAAGCCAUCCAGGGUAAUUGAAUCCUUGAAUGUUGUCCACUUCGAUUCUCAGCUGGGGCCGUUGACUGGACAUUUGUGCUCUGUUACAAACUCUUGAGUGCAGCCCAAAUUGCUUAAUGCCAAAAGGUCACUCUGUGAGUCCAGGGGGAGGGUGUCGGUAGGGAGGACCAUGGCACUGGAGUUUGAUACCUGCAGAAAUGUUGCCUUGUUUUUAUUUCUUUAAAUGAAAGCACAUAUGUGGUUAGUUGGUGAAUACAUUACCGGGGACAGAAGAAAAAAAACCCCACCAACUAAGACUUCCUAGAUGUCAGUUAGUUUAAAAUAUCUAACCAUCUAUGUUUUGUCAAGAGCAAAAGGCUAAAAAGAACUUCACUGUAAUGUUUUAAGUAGGAAUAGUUUUAAACGGCAUUAAACACAUAUACAUAAACUUGGCAUGAGCGUCAUUUAAAUUGAAGGGUAGCAAAAAAGCAUCAAAUAAUUUCUGAGAUAUUGAAACGUAUUCACCUGCUGAUUGUCCAGAGAACAUGUGUGUCUUCAGACUUUGGAUCUGAGUGUCUUGAAUUUUUGUCCUCACAAGGAACUGGAGUUAAAUGGAUCCAAUACGGGUACACCCACACCCAUUUCCUCCACUGGUACGCUGUGGCCAGGAGGCGCGGGCCAGCCUCAGAGGCCUUCCUCACUGGGAUUUCUGGCUUUCUGCAGGUUCAGCUGUCCACACGGUGGCAUGGCUUUCUCAGCUCCA